Molecule: ribosomal RNA, 207 nt
Filed under: uncultured Bacillota bacterium
Lineage: Bacteria; Bacillati; Bacillota
Description: uncultured Firmicutes bacterium partial 16S ribosomal RNA
Rfam family: Bacterial small subunit ribosomal RNA
Source: RNAcentral
CGUGUAGGCGGGUUAGCAAGUCAGAUGUGAAACCCCACGGCUUAACUGUGGGACUGCAUCUGAAACUGCUGAUCUUGAGUGCUGGAGAGGAAAGCGGAAUUCCCAGUGUAGCGGUGAAAUGCGUAGAGAUUGGGAGGAACACCAGUGGCGAAGGCGGCUUUCUGGACAGUAACUGACGCUGAGGCGCGAAAGCGUGGGGAGCAAACA